UACGUAGGGGGCAAGCGUUGUCCGGAUUUAUUGGGCGUAAAGAGCGUGUAGGCGGCCAGGUAGGUCCGUUGUGAAAACUCGAGGCUCAACCUCGAGACGCCGAUGGAAACCAUCUGGCUAGAGUCCGGAAGAGGAGACUGGAAUUUACGGUGUAGCGGUGAAAUGCGUAGAUAUCGAUAAGGAAGACCAGUGGCGAAGGCGGGUCUCCUGGACAGUUCCGUGACGCUGAGGCACGAAGGUCAGGGGAGCAAACGGG
Molecule: ribosomal RNA, 256 nt
Filed under: uncultured bacterium
Lineage: Bacteria
Description: partial 16S ribosomal RNA
Rfam family: Bacterial small subunit ribosomal RNA
Source: RNAcentral